AACGCCUACAGAAAAGUUGGACCCCAAAAAUUUACUGUGGGACCCCUGUCGCGAACUCGCAUGGCUGCAGUAUUUGUGACCCCAAGAUGCAGGAACCAGGCGAAUGAUGAGCAGCCCUGAUGGCCUUUCUUCUCCUUCCACGGUGAGGCCCAGCAACUCGAUAAUUUGCAGCAUGUCGUCCUGCAAAUCUUCAGCAGCCAAUUAUGAAAAUUUCACAGGCGCUUGGACACGGCUGUACAGCUCCAGAUGACGCUCCAAGAUGCGGCAGAGUUUGGGAGCGGGAUCGCCAUGGACCAUCCAGGGUCGCGUCACUAGGCCAGUGAGGAAAGGCUUGAGGUCCAGCAGGAGCUGAUCGAUCACCAUUCGACAGGCUCGUCUCACUGUUCGCUCCAAAGCUGCCAGCGGGUUGGAAGGCGUCCGAGUGAACUGUCCUAAUUCCCGGGAUGACUGCUGCUGCUGCAGGCUCUCUGUGCCCUGUCUGUAUCAAAUGUGAAGGCAAUGGUUAAAAAGGCACUUUUUUAAAGGAAUUGUGUCCAUCAUCUGCAAUCCUUAUGUGUGACAUGUGCCUUCUAAAUAGUCGCCUCGUGCAGCUAAUGGGGAUUUAUCUAUUUCACCUAUAAAGCACUCUCCAAAACAUCCAACGCCAACAAUGCUUUGUUUACAUGCUGUGACCUGCAUAUUAACCAAGCUAUAGUUAUAGUUAUUAUAGGAGCAAACACAGAGGAACUACUUUUCUGGCGUAGUGACACAGCGCCUUGUUCACAGUGCCUCAGGCUACUAGUGAGAAGUAAGCUAGCUACGAGAGUUGCUUCUACCGCUGAAUCACCUCUGAGUUAAUGCCCGGUUAUAAAUCCUGCCUCACGCCUGUAAAGUAGAAGGUUGUGUCAAUAAACCGGGAAGUUGGUCAACUUUGAAAUUACACACACCAAUGAAAAAAUUUGAAGUAGUGGAUACUUGUUUUCAAGUUAGACCCGACGUCAUUGCUAGGAAGACUAGGCAAGAUGCAAAUAUGUUCUCAGAAUUUUCAAUCUGAGUAUUAUUCUGAAUAAAGCAUCUCAACCGUGAGCACAAGUCUUGUGUUGAAAGCUACAACCAUCCCAUCAGUCGGCAGCCCAGGGAUAGCUGACAUUUGUAUUCACUGUUUAGUUAAGUUCCCACUUUGUCAAUAAAAUGUUUAGCAAUAGUGCUACAUGAUACCGACAAAAAUGGCUUGGUGUUUCACGAUGGCCGGGUCAUUUGUCCCAAAGUAGUCGUCAUGACGUCUGCCAUGAUUAGGUUGUUGUUGACUGAAGUAGCGUUUGUUGCUAUGUGCUCUGUGAAAUCAAUUCGCCCAGGAAAUAUGUAGCGGUAAUGUUUAAAAUGAGCAAAGUACUGUAAAUAUUAAAUAUUACAUGAAUAUGCUUGUUACUACAUUGUUACACCAUGUACUGUAUAUAAAACUUUGUUGGAGGUUUUUUUUUAAAUGUUUUUAGAGAGCUUUAUAAUUAAACUAGAUCAAAUUCCAACUACCUAUUUUGUUAGCCGCCUCAUGCUAGAUGUUUUUUCUUACUAUCUAUAGCGCACAGAAAAGGGAAAGACAUGAGUGUUCUUGUCUCACAUAAGGAUUGUGGAUGAUGGACAAAAUUCCGAAAGAUAGUUAAGUUUACCUUUAAAGGAGCCAUAUGUAAGAUUUUCAUGUCAAGUCAUCAUUAAAUGGCCCUGAUACAGUAUGUCAAAAGGCAUAAAUCAUGUUCUUUUUGAAUACCUCUAUAACUGAUAACAGUAGUUCAGCCGGGAUAUGCUCAUUUCAAAAUUACUUUUACAGCCCCAGUUAUUGUUUUCAUUUCGAUGCCCCGCCCUCCACUGUUUGACCAAUUAGAAAGUCUGUGAGGUUGUUACAUCCAGGUUGCCAGUUACGCACCGCCAUCUUUAUCGAGCUACUGCCACUGGUAAAGUUACUAAACAUGUCAGACUUUGGUAAAUCUAAAAGUCGUCUUUACGAUUCUCAACUCACUCAUGACAAAGCCAGGAACAAAACGAAGGGACGGCGUGGCGCAGUGGAAGAGUGGCCGUGUGCAACCCGAGGGUCCCUGGUUCAAUCCCCACCUAGAACCAACCUCGUCAUGUCCGUUGUGUCCUGAGCAAGACACUUCACCCUUGCUCCUGAUGGGUGCUGGUUAGCGCCUUGCAUGGCAGCUCCCUCCAUCAGUGUGUGAAUGUGUGUGUGAAUGGGUAAAUGUGGAAGUAGUGUCAAAGCGUUUUGAGUACCUUGAAGGUAGAAAAGCGCUAUACAAGUACAACCCAUUUAUCAUUUAUUUAUCAUUUAUUUGUAUCGGGGAUGCCUUUGAAAGACGGAGACGAUUGAAGACGCCAAACUUGCAAAGUUCCUCCUUGAUAGGUAAGUGAGGCAUUUACAUUUUGUUAUUACUUGUAAUAAAUGGAAAUAUACAUUUGGUAUGUAAACUAUAUUGUUCAAUACAGUCUAUGAUCUUGUCUAACAAAGCUAGUAUGUUUGUGCAAGGAAUGAUUAGAAUGCUAGCCCGGUCAACGAUACAUCGACUUAUAGGCUAACAGGGGAAAUAUAUGCCUGUUAGCCUCUAUGUCCAUGUGUCAUCCAACUGACUGGGCAAAAUAUCUUUUCGACAAAUCUAUGUGAACAUGGUUAGUGUCAGUGCCUAUUUCGUUCUCAAUAUGCUGAUACACUGAGGAAAUGGGUUCCAACAUUAGCACGGCUGUCAUGGCAAUGUGAAACAUAUGGAGACAGCCAAAACACAUGCAUAUUGUGGACUACAUGUACCAAGUUAUAUGGCAAUUUGAAACGUUUGAAACAGUAGCCUAUAGGCAUACCUUGGUAAAAUGUAUCCUCUUUAGUUUUGGGAGGACAUUAGGCUGCUAAGCAUGCUCUACUUCUUUUCCCGUCUUUAUCCUUUGUUUUCUGAUAGUACUGACAAGAACCAUUUGUUGUGAUAUUGUACGCAGGCAUGACGUACUUCUUCCUGAAAAUAGCCUAAUUUCUGUGUAAAAUGUGUUGGUUAUAUCGAGCUGAAUUUGGCUGCGUAUCUGGCAACCUCAGUCAGGGAGAGGGGGAGGGGACUACAGAAUUUCUGGCCAGAUUCCUACAUAUGGCUCCUUUAAAUAUGGACUAAAUAAAUGCGUGGCACAUUUCUUAUCAUGUGAGCUCCGUUUUUCCGUCAGUACACAAACGCUGAAGCUGAAGUUUUUGAAAAUCUUCUCCCGGGCUGGAGUGUUCCCGAAAGCUCAGUUUU
Long non-coding RNA from Nerophis lumbriciformis (worm pipefish), 3245 nucleotides. RefSeq lists it as uncharacterized. NCBI's taxonomy places the organism in Eukaryota, Metazoa, Chordata, Actinopteri, Syngnathiformes, Syngnathidae. The record is from RefSeq and is a predicted model, not a curated record.